This 73-nucleotide transfer RNA is filed under the name Canis lupus familiaris (dog). It matches the Rfam family "tRNA". Rfam says of the family: Transfer RNA (tRNA) molecules are approximately 80 nucleotides in length. Their secondary structure includes four short double-helical elements and three loops (D, anti-codon, and T loops). The record is from Rfam by way of RNAcentral. Lineage: Eukaryota; Metazoa; Chordata; Mammalia; Carnivora; Canidae.
GCCUGGCUAGCUCAGUUGGCAGAGCAUGUGAUUCUUGAUCUCAGGGUUGUGGUUUUGAGCCCCAUACUGGGUA